RNAcentral lists this ribosomal RNA (460 nucleotides) under uncultured bacterium. RNAcentral's name for it is "bacterial SSU rRNA". It matches the Rfam family "Bacterial small subunit ribosomal RNA", at positions 340 to 786 of the family's 1533-position model. The record is from RNAcentral.
UACGGGAGGCAGCAGUGGGGAAUAUUGCACAAUGGGCGAAAGCCUGAUGCAGCUAUGCCGCGUGUAUGAAGAAGGCCUUAGGGUUGUAAAGUACUUUCAUCGGGGAGGAAAAAAACAAAAACUAAUAAUUUUAUUUCUUGACGUUACCCGAAAAAGAAAGCACCGGCUAACUCCGUGCCAGCAGCCGCGGUAAUACGGAGGGUGCUAGCGUUAAUCAGAAUUACUGGGCGUAAAGAGCACGUAGGUGGUUUUUUUAAGUUCAGAUGUGAGAUCCCUGGGCUUAACCUAGGAACUGCAUUUUGAAACUGAAAUACUAGAGUAUCGUAGAGGGAGGUAGAAUUCUAGGUGUAGCGGUGAAAUGCGUAGAUAUCUGGAGGAAUACCUGUGGCGAAAGCGGCCUCCUAAACGAAUACUGACACUGAGGUGCGAAAGCGUGGGGAGCAAACAGGGAUUAGAUACC